Phyllostomus discolor (pale spear-nosed bat) is the source of this 258-nucleotide long non-coding RNA. RefSeq lists it as uncharacterized. The transcript has 2 exons. NCBI's taxonomy places the organism in Eukaryota, Metazoa, Chordata, Mammalia, Chiroptera, Phyllostomidae. The record is from RefSeq and is a predicted model, not a curated record.
GUUUAGAAUUUUAAAAUCAAUGUAAUUCAUAUUAAUUAUAAACACAACAUAUUUCAAAAGAUUUUUUACGAUAAAAUUCCUCCACAAGAACAGAAGGUAAAUUACUAAGCGUGAUAAGUCAUUUAUGAAAAAUCUGUCCCUAAGAUCACACUUAACAGAGAAAGAUGCUUUCACCCUGAGAUAAUUUUAAGACAAGAAUGUCCAGUCACCUCCUCCUUCAUAUCAAUAUUGUGCUGAUAAUCCUACCUAAUGAAGGCA